Molecule: ribosomal RNA, 458 nt
Filed under: uncultured bacterium
Lineage: Bacteria
Description: bacterial SSU rRNA
Rfam family: Bacterial small subunit ribosomal RNA
Source: RNAcentral
GAUGAACGCUGGCGGCGUGCUUAACACAUGCAAGUCGAACGUGAGGGGAUAGCAAUAUUCUUGAAAGUGGCGCACGGGUGAGUAAUACGUAGGUAACCUGCCCUGGAGUGGGGGAUAACAACUGGAAACGGUUGCUAAUACCGCAUGAAGCCAAGACACUGGGAAGUGACUUGGUAAAAACUCUGGUGCUUCAGGAGGGGCCUACGGCCGAUUAGCUAGUUGGCGGGGUAAGAGCCCACCAAGGCAUUGAUCGGUAGCUGGUCUGAGAGGACGAUCAGCCACACGGGAACUGAGACACGGUCCCGACUCCUACGGGGGGCAGCAGUGAGGAAUAUUGGGCAAUGGGCGCAAGCCUGACCCAGCAACGCCGCGUGGAGGAAGACGGGCCUUCGGGUUGUAAACUCCUUUACGGGGUAAGGAGGAAGGACGGUACCCGAGGAAUAAGUCACGGCGUAACU